AAGACAGAGGUGGCGAGCGUUACCCGGAUUCACUGGGCGUAAAGGGUGCGUAGGCGGUUGUGCGUGUCGUCGGUGAAAUCUCCCUGCUCAACGGGGAGAGGUCCGACGAAACUGCACGGCUGGAGGGCCGGAGAGGGAGGCGGAACUUCCGGAGUAGCGGUGGAAUGCGUAGAUACCGGAAGGUACCUCAAUAGCGAAGGCAGCCUCCUGGCCGGUUCCUGACGCUGAGGCACGAAAGCGUGGGGAGCAAACCGGAUUAGAUACCCGGGUAGUCCACGCCCUAAACGAUGCCGACUAGGUGUUGGCCUCGCACAUGCUGGGCCAGUGCCGCAGCUAACGCGAUAAGUCGGCCGCCUGGGGUGUACGGCCGCAAGGUU
This 377-nucleotide ribosomal RNA is filed under the name uncultured bacterium. RNAcentral describes it as "bacterial SSU rRNA". It matches the Rfam family "Bacterial small subunit ribosomal RNA", at positions 522 to 895 of the family's 1533-position model. The record is from RNAcentral.